UGCUGGCGGCGACUCACCGGCACAGUGGUUCCGAUCGUGAGCCGCUGGAAGCGGCUUGCCGGAGAUAAAGAGUUAAUAGGACAAAUAAUUCAGCAUGAGGUGAAAUUGCUGGUUUUGAUAAUUUAACUGGCAUUUAAAGUGAAUGGAGUUUCCUCACCCAAAUAGAGCCUGCAACGAUCAGACACCAAACUGAUGAUUGAGAAAUGUCACUAUUAGGCCCUGUUUUCUAUAAUAAGAUAGACAAUGAACUUUGAGUAAAUUCUCUGAUGGGACAAUUUUUUCUUAAAUGAUAUAAUGCUUGUAUUGUGAUGUACUUUUACUCCUCAAGUUUAUGAUUGCCAUGAGAGUUUGCUCCAUUUGUUGUUGCUUUUACUUUAAUGUCGGAUAAUUAUUUUUGCAAACGUUUUAUGUAAAUGAAUAUAAUGAGGUUGAAUUUAUGCCUUUGUCAUCUAAUGAACAAUGUAAGUUAAGUAAGAGUAAAUGAAUAUAUAUUGAGGUUGGAUUUAUGCCGUUGUCAUCUAAUGAACAAUGUAAGUAAGAGUAAGAGGUCUUACUGUUGUAAAUAAUAAUGUAGUGUUAUAUAUUACUUUGCUGGAGUAGAUGUUUGUUCUGUAUUAGCACCUCAGUGAGUGGCUGGGAGAGGUGAGUUUGCUUGGUGGCAUGAGCCAUUCACUCAUUGUGGUGGCAGUCAUUGAGGUGUCAAUAGAACAGAUGUUAUGGCACUGGCUUACUUUCUGGAAACAAUUUUUUUAGUUGAUUAUGAUAGUGAUAGCAGAUUUACUCUACCUGAUACUGAUAUAUUUCUGUAGUACAAGAAUUUGUAUUGAGGUGGUUUUGGUUUGUGAUUUGGAUUGUCCCUAAGGUUAUGUGACAGUGUUAUUGCUCAUGGGAAAUAUUUUGGAGUUGUUCAGUUCAACUUUUUUUUCUUUUUUGGGAGGGGGGGGGGGGGGGGCUGGAUGAUUAUGAUGAUAAUAGUGAUGUUAUAUAUACAGUGUGCUUAAAUCGUUGUGAUGGAUAAGCAAUAAUGACCUGUGCCUCUCUUAUUUCAUAUCAUGUGACAUGACUAUUGCCCUGUCCCCACGGUUUAUGCAAAAAAGAAAUCUGAAAUUAUGCAAACUGAGCCCAAAAAUGUGAAAUUAUGCGAUUCUGUUAAUUUUAACAAAGAAUAAGAAAGGAAAAUAAUCAGAAAUUAUGCAAAAAAUGAUCUAAUUUUGCUAAAUUAUGCAGGGUGCAUAAAACCCUGGGGACAGAUAGCACCAUGUUACAGUGGACGGUGACUAAGAGUUGAUGUGCAUCUUAGAUGGAAUCUAAUAUGUUUUACUGCAAAAAAGGUCCAAAGUUUGUUAUCCUACCAUGGAGCUGCUUAAACUGAAAACAGUCUGAAAAAAGUGGUGUUCUGAAAGAAUCAGAAUCUCCAAUCUUUCUUUCUUCUUUUGGACUUUGUAAGAAAACUUCCAAUUAGCUGAAAUGCUGCGGAGUAGUUUUUCUAAAUUGAAAAGAAUUUCAAGGGUUAUGUGGACUAAUUAUUCACAAACAGCUCUUAAAAACAUGAGAACGCACUUGCAUCAAUUGCAGGCCAGAAAGAGGCAUUGGCAAUGUACUAUUUACCUACGUUUAUUACAAACAUUGACAGGUGUACACACUACAUACAUGUUGUGUAUAGUGACGCUAGGACUAGGACUAAGGUAACAAUAAAUAAAUCUGUUGUGGGACCUUUGAUGGGUUAUGGCCUAGGACUUUUUUUUUGUCCACAUGGCACACAAUGUGUCUCGUGAUGUCACUUGCACUCGGCUUUCUCACUCCUCUUGUGCAGAGCAAAGUUUAAUACAGUAGGGCCUACAGUGUGUAUGUUGGGCAGAUCAAACAAGCUGACAAUGUGAAGGGAAAAAGCACAAUCACAAAGAGAAAAAGCAAUCUCUACUGUCUGCACUUUUUGGCCAGUUUUUUUCCUGUCUUGACAUCAUCGUACUGACACUACUAGAUUAACACAUUUCAUCAGCAAGCUGUUCAAAUGUGUCAAGCCCAGAAAGCAAAAUUUUUUUUUCUCAAGAGAAAAAAUCCCUGUUUCGUUCUUUAAAAAAAUUGUAACAAAAUUAUGUAGGUAUUUUUUUUUUCAACAUUUAGAAUUUGAUGUUCGACAAAAUAUUUCUUGAAGACAUGUAGUUGAUGUGAGAUAAAGAAGCUGCAAUAAACAAUUUUUUUCAAAACUUGAGGAUUAGUAGGCCUACAUCUGAACAGAUGAUUGACAGUUUUGUACCUUUUACUGUUUACAUCUAAUUUCUUGAUGCAACUUUAGCUCGCCAGCACCAUUAAGUCUCCUUGUUUAUUUUGAUUGCCUAUGCUAAUACUAAUAACAUAUAUAUAUAUCGUAUAUUAUUGUUCUUAUAAUACUGCUUAUGUUUUUAAAAAAUCUAAUUUGUACCGUCAUUUUUCUUUUGUAUACUUUGUUUACCCAACUUCAUCCAUGUCUUUUCUGCUUUGAUUUUACUCAUGAGGAAAGAUUCCUUCCUGCUUUAUUUUACCCAUGAGGAAGGUUAGGGAAUUUCACACCAUACUUUUGUGCUUUGGAGUUGGAGUCGGAGCAUGAUGAGAAGUGUCUUUAGGGUUUAAACUACAUGUACUAGAAGGAAAAUAUCAUCUACUUCAGUUUUAACUUGCAUUAUAAAUAUAUACAUAUUACAGCUUUACGAAUCUAAAAUUCCAGACGACUACAAAUGAGUUGAUGUUAUGUUAUAGGGGGUGUGAAAAAAGAUCAACUCAUUCGAAGUUCAACUUAACAGUUGGGGUCUGUAAAGAAAAAGAGGUUCUGGGACUGGAGUAAAAUAUCGACGUAACCAAAGAUCAACUCAAGCAGUUCGUUACAAACGGAGUCGACUGUAUACAUUUUCUUUUUCUUUCCAAAACUCACUCUGUGGGGAGAUAUGCACGGUCGGAAUAGAUUAUAAUUCACGAAAAGGGACAAAUUGAAUCAAAUUGAGUUAAACGUAGCAAUAGAAAACUUAACGGGACCCAUUGAAAGCACAAACAUAGAUCUAAUAUGAUUCUCUUAUGAAGCUCUUCCUUUUUAAAGGUUUCAGGGUGUGGAAUUGCCCCAUUAACACUCUAUGACUAUGUGUAUUUUCUUUUGAUGACAUAAUGUAAUAUGUAACUAUAAUUUGAUUAGAAUGUGGGACCACUAUCCUGUUUUGUGUUAAGCAUGCUCUUCCAUAUCAACCAAGCUAUUCUAUUCAAAGAGUAUUGGCAAAGUUUAAUCAUAUAAUGAAAACUUCACGAAGAAAGUUAAAAAUAUUAAUUGUCAAAAAUGCUUCGCACGACCACCUGAGAGGAGAGUGAAGUCUGUUCUGUUCUGGAAUAGAAUGCGAUACCUUUUUUAUUUGCUUUUGAGAAGAGAGAAAAUGAGACUAAUCAAUACUUUGUCAUUUGAUUUUUUUUUCAACUGGGCAAAAUAGUUAAAAUGAGAUAACACUUUACUUCCACUACUUUCAGCAAGUGUUUUUUACUUUGUGAAAAACUGCCGAUGUCAGUGUUCCGAUGUUUUACAAUUCAGAGGCUCUUGUUUUAUUUAUUCAUUGUGUGAGAAUUGAGUGCCUAUUUUUGCUAACUGAAAAAAUUAUUCGGCUUGUGUCACUUAAAAGCUCCUAAACAAUUUUUUUCCUUUGUUUUCAAUGAAAUCAGAAUUGUUUUUGUGUAUAGCGGACAACAAUUUUUACACAUUAUAACAAAACAUAAUGCAUGACAGUCACACUCAUCUGCCUGUAGAGGUUUACAGGUUACACAAAUAGUUAAUGGUGGCCACUUUGUUGAAAAAUAGAAAGUGCUCACAAUAUUUUGACAUACUGGUAAUAGGAAAUUCUGAGUCAUUAAGUGAUUAACCCUGUCCGUACGUCGUGUUUUAUUUACUAUUGUCGUAUCCAUACGACGUGAGGAACUGUGUGCCACCACUUUCCAAAGAGGAAAUUUACUCGUUAAUUCAAUCCAUAUGCUUUGCAUAGCAGUCUGUCAAAAUGUUUUUUUGAGAAAUACUGAACGUUUCAAAGGGAUCUUCGCACUAGAAAUAUUCUAAAUGUGAAGAAUACACACGAAAUGACCCCAGGGCGUACGGAUAGGGUUCUCAUAGAAAUGCCUUUUAUUUUUAAGCAAAUAAAAUAGUGUGAUCAUUC
This 4160-nucleotide long non-coding RNA is filed under the name Aplysia californica (California sea hare). Its description in RNAcentral is "uncharacterized LOC101851682". Lineage: Eukaryota; Metazoa; Mollusca; Gastropoda; Aplysiida; Aplysiidae. The record is from RNAcentral.